GGCUGGACACACCAUUGUAUACUAUGGCACGUGAUGUGGGAGGCAUUAUACCACACAUUACACUCAAGGUGGGGUUAGGUUUCAGAACAAGAGAUGUGGGCAGAAUGAUGGAAAGAGCCAGUGUCAGCAAGUGGCUGCCUGCGAAAGAAUUAGGGAAAGGUGACGUGGAGGUGUCACAGGAUAACACCUUGAUGCGAAUCAGACACUCAUCUCGCUUAACGGGGGAGCCUCAAGUAGUUGAGGUGAUUGAGUGAGAGAGGAUAGAGGAGGAAUAUACAGUGGGUGACUUUAUGGGAAUCCAUACUGUAUAUAUGAUGGGUAUGAAGGAAUAGGUAUAGUUAUUGAAAUGUUGAAUACAUGGGUGUUGCUUGAGGAUUGUAGCUUGGUGGAAGUGAGUGGAAUUGGAUUGUGUAUAGAAUGGGAAUUAGUGGGAAUUAAUAAAUAACGUAAUUGACAGAUUGAAUAAAGCACAGUUAUAUAUUGCAUAGCAUAUAAUACAUUUUGACAAUUGCUCCUGGCUGUUGGUAAUCUGUGAGUUUCACACAUGGGAUUAUUUACGGUUUAUGAAUAUGAAAUUGGGUUUGCUGGUAAAAAAUACAGGUGUGAUGCAUAUUGGGUUGAAAGGUUGAUUAAGUAGUGGAUGAAUGCUGAGAGUUGGAUAGUCGCAGCUGGAGUGUAAACAUUUUAUUCUAACAAGGAUAUAGAAUAGGUACUUGGUUGAUAACUUUGAUAACAAUCUGCAUUGAAAGUUUUUUGUUUGCAGGCCAGCAGCAGGAGAGAUAGUGGAGAAGAUAGCACAGAGGGUUAAGGAAUGUAGUGGUUGGUACAGCUGUUGUUGAAGAAAGGACCCCUGCGUCCCCCUCUGGUUCAUACACAAAAGGCCCUCGGGUUAGAAGUGAUAAGACUGUUUGCCCAGGUGUGGCACUGGGGUCAUGGGGAGCCAGGCAGGGGUAGGUAAGAAGUAUGGUUAUGUAGCAACAGGACGUCAGGAAAGGGUUAAGAGAAAGUUUAUUGGAGAGAGUGAGAAAACAAGAGAUUGAUAGAGCCUAGCGGGGGUUUAGAAGAGAGUUUUGGAAGUAAUUAAUAUGACUAAGGGGUUAACUGAUAAGAAAGAGCAGGAGGCAAAAGGGGUAUAUGGAGGUAUGUUUUGUAGUAAGAAAAGUUAAAGUUAGAAUGGGCUAUAGAUAAGGACUUUUAAAUAAAUAAAUGAGGGUUUAAAACA
This is a long non-coding RNA of Clupea harengus (Atlantic herring), 1222 nucleotides long. The record is from Ensembl. Lineage: Eukaryota; Metazoa; Chordata; Actinopteri; Clupeiformes; Clupeidae.